AAAAGGGAAAAACUCCGAGCCAUUUUUUCUAAAUCCUGAGCAAUCAGGACAAGAGAUAUGGCCGUUAGGUGACUCUGGAAACGGAAUCGCCCCCCGUGUUCGGAAAGGAGAUAAUGUGUAGGCUUU
Molecule: non-coding RNA, 126 nt
Filed under: Candidatus Schekmaniibacteriota
Lineage: Bacteria
Description: Candidatus Schekmanbacteria MoCo sequence
Rfam family: Molybdenum/Tungsten riboswitch aptamer (Moco RNA motif)
Source: RNAcentral